AAUAAAAGAUACUCCUGUCUGGUUGGGAAUUUCUCAUACAGUAGCUCUGUGGUUUUACUUUUCUCACAGGGCCAUUUCUUAGGUCUGUGAGAAGGUAAUGCACGACAGCA
RNAcentral lists this small nucleolar RNA (110 nucleotides) under Octodon degus (degu). The record is from RNAcentral. Lineage: Eukaryota; Metazoa; Chordata; Mammalia; Rodentia; Octodontidae.